CAAGCCUCAAGCCAUCCUCCCUCCUCGGCUUCCCAGAGUGUUGGGAUUACAGGCAUGAGCCACCACGCCCAGCCUAGGAGGGAUUGUCAUUUCAGCUAUUCAGUCCCUGCCGCCCACUCUGCACCAGGCCCAAGGAGGAGCUGGGGACAGAGGUGAAUAUGGCACACUCUCUGUUCCCAAGGAGCCAAGUCAGCCAGGGGAGACGGAAAAGGACAGCCUUGUGUGACCAGUGCUGGGACCCCAGCCACGCACAGGGGCUGCAGAAAUCCAUAGGAGAGCAUUUUCUCCCGACCUGGAGGAGGUGACACCCUGAUUCUCGCCUGAUUCUCUUUAACCACAGCUAAUGCUUUGAGAUGGAUUACAUCCCACUUUGCAGAAGAGGAAACAGAUGCGGAGAGAUCCCAGGAGGUGCUGGCCAAGGGGAGGAGAAAGGAGAGAGCUGAUGCUGGCCCCUGAACCUGCCUGGUAACACCAUCAUUCACUCAACUGAGGCACCGACUGCUCCAGGAGCAAUGGCUCCAGAUCCGCUAAUUCAGUGUUUGCAGAGACUUUACCACAAAUAAGAAUCCACUAUGUGUAAUGCGUGUCAUCUACCAUUCCUAUUACGAAGAUUCUACAAACAUUCAUCCAUCACCCGCUAUGGACCAAGCACUAGGUUGAACCAAGUGAUACACGGAUGCUGGUGCCAAAAAGGUCUUUGUGCGCAAGGUCUGGGUUUUCGCCACUCUGAGUCCCCAGGGCCAGGUUCCUGUUGCAGCCUGGAGCCGGAAAAGAAUCUGGGAGGAAGAGGUUGGGUGUUGGGGCCAGCAGACUAGGGGACGACAGAUCCUGCCCUGCCACUCAUUUGCUGUGCAACUCUCAGCAAAGCACCCAACCUCUCCGAGCCCUCGCUUCCCCAUCUGUGAAGUGGGGAUCAUAAGGCCCAUCCUGCAAGGUGGUUUCCGCGGUGAAAAUAGAAAACGAGGCCUGUUCCUACAGCCUGUGUGUCUUGGGAGGAACUGCUCAUCAUCUGUGAUCCUUUUUUACCUGAUUACGGGAAAGGGGAGUGAUCUGCUCACUGACCCCCGGCUGGGCUUUUCCCUGCCAGUGAAAUCAUUUGAAAUUGUCCAAGGAAAUCAGGAACCUGAGCCGACGCAGAGUCACCGAGCUUGGUGCCAAGCACUGGGGGAGCUCCAGUUACAGAAAACAAGUGGAAUCCACAGGCCCCGGGCUGAACGUGGAACUAAUUUGGGAGGCAAUGAGAAAGAGCGGAACAUAACGCGGAGCCCGGGAGGCAGGUCUGCCCUGAGUCAGGACGCCAUCCGGGGGGGUAUCUGGGGCCCCUUGAAAUUUUCAAGGUCCUGCUUCUGAAGUGGGGAGAGCCGGGACAUGAUGGGGACCCACUUCGGAAUCUCAGGAUGGCUGUGCAGAGACUCAGGGCACGGGCCUGGGGUCGGAGCAACUGCAAUCACAUCCUGACUUGCCCCCUCGAUGCUGUGUGACCCGGGGCCUGUCGCUUCACCUCUCUGAGCCUCAGCUGCCGCAUCUGUGAAUGUACGAUCUAGGGAUCCCUCCCUCAGAGGGCUGCUUCAUAGAAGGCUCAGUACCAUGCCAGCAGAUACUUAAGAACAUGCAACCUGUGCCAGACUGAGGAACACAGGAGGGAACAAGACAGACCUAGCCCCACGCAAAAGGAAACAAAUAGUGUGUACCUAAUUGCAAUCAUCGUUUGAAGGAUAAGAACAGGGUGCUUGGAUAAAAAAAUAACUGGGGCGGGCUAGGCAUGGUGGCUCACGCCUGUAAUCCCAGGACUUUGGGAGGCCGAGGUGGGCGGAUCACCUGAGGUCAGGAGCUCGAGACCAGCCUGGCCAACAUAGAAAAACCCCAUCUCUACUAAAAGAUACAAAAAUUAGCCAGGCAUGGUGGUGGGCACCUGUAGUCCCAGCUACUGGGGAGGCCAAGGUGGGAGGAUCGCUUGAACCUGGGAGGUGGAGGUUGCAGUGAGCUGAGACCGUGCCACUGCACUCCAGCCUGGGCAACAGAGUGAGACUCCGUCUCAAAAAAAAAAAAGAAAAGAAAAAGUAAAAGUAAAGAGACAAUGCACCCAAAAUUUGGAUAGAUGGAAGGAUAGAGGGAUGGAUAUGUGAUCACUCAAAUUUAGUAAAAUGUUAGUGAGUUGAUGUUGCUGUUUCAAAAUUUUCAUAAUAAAAUGUUGGGGGAAAGUAACAAAACCAAGAAGAAAAAGAGGUAGAAACAAAUUCUUUAACAGCUCUCUUUUCCUACGGAACACUGUCCAGGUGCUUAGCCGGGCAGCCAACACACAAAUCCUUGCCUCACGCCCCAAACUCACUCUAAGUGUGUAGCCCUGGGCACACCCUCAAACCUCUCCGAGGCUGCAGUCCUGGUCUCGUAGGAAGUGAGAGGCCAUCCUCCGGGAGAGGCAAGGCUGAGAUGCACACAGUUGUUUUCAGAGCAGCAAGGCCACUUCGGCAACACCCAGAGCUUAGGGAGGACGUGGUCAACCAGCCUUUACUGGGGCCUGGGAGACUCCCCACUGACACAAACUCCCUUCUGGUUUGCACUGGGGACGUUCAGUCCCUUGGGUUAUGCAUUCACUGGUCCAAUAGAUAUUUUCUGUGUGCCAGGCCCUGCACGGGGCACUGUAGUGUGAAGUCUGUCAGGUUCUUCCCUUUAAAGAACACCCCCAAGACACAGACAGAUCCAAUCCAGUGAGACACACACUCCGAGGGAGCCAACUCCAGCCUGGAUAGACGCCAAGCCCCACAGCCAGGCUUCAGACUGACUCCCGCCUCAGUCCGGAACCUCAGCACAGGAAGGACCCUCGUGUCAGGAUAUCCAGGCCCCGCCCCAGCCCAAUGGCCCCUGCCC
Molecule: long non-coding RNA, 2868 nt
Filed under: Homo sapiens (human)
Lineage: Eukaryota; Metazoa; Chordata; Mammalia; Primates; Hominidae
Description: HSALNT0228005
Source: RNAcentral